This 497-nucleotide ribosomal RNA is filed under the name uncultured bacterium. Its description in RNAcentral is "partial 16S ribosomal RNA". It matches the Rfam family "Bacterial small subunit ribosomal RNA", at positions 28 to 507 of the family's 1533-position model. The record is from RNAcentral.
GAUGAACGCUGGCGGCGUGCCUAAUACAUGCAAGUCGAGCGAACAGACGAGGAGCUUGUUCUUCUGACGUUAGCGGCGGACGGGUGAGUAACACGUGGAUCCCCUACCUAUAAGACUGGGCUAACUUCGGGAACCCGGAGCUCAUACCGGAUAAUAUAUUGAACCGCAUGGUUCAAUAGUGAAACACGGUUUUGCUGUGCCUUAUAGAUGGACCCGAGCCGCCUUAGCUAGUUGGUAAGGUAACGGCUUACCAAGGCAACGAUGCAUAGCCGACCAGAGAGAGGGAUCGUCCACACUGGAACUGAGACACGGGCCAGACUCCGACGGGAAGCAGCAGUAGGGAAUCAUCCGCAAUGGGCGUAAGCCAGACGGAGCAACGCGGCGAGAGUUAUGAAGGUCUUCGGAUCGUAAGACACUGGUAUUAGGGAAGAACAAAUGUGUAAGUAGCAAUACACGUCUUGACGGUACCUAAGCAGAAAGCCACGGCUAACUACGUG